This 433-nucleotide ribosomal RNA is filed under the name uncultured Clostridium sp. RNAcentral describes it as "partial 16S ribosomal RNA". It matches the Rfam family "Bacterial small subunit ribosomal RNA", at positions 341 to 792 of the family's 1533-position model. The record is from RNAcentral. Lineage: Bacteria; Bacillati; Bacillota; Clostridia; Eubacteriales; Clostridiaceae.
ACGGGAGCAGCAGUGGGGAAUAUUGCACAAUGGGGGAAACCCUGAUGCAGCGACGCCGCGUGAGUGAAGAAGUAUUUCGGUAUGUAAAGCUCUAUCAGCAAGGAAGAAAAUGACGGUACUUGACUAAGAAGCCCCGGCUAACUACGUGCCAGCAGCCGCGGUAAUACGUAGGGGGCAAGCGUUAUCCGGAUUUACUGGGUGUAAAGGGAGCGUAGACGGCAUGGUAAGUCUGAAGUGAAAUCCCGGGGCUCAACCCCGGAAUUGCUUUGGAAACUAUCAAGCUAGAGUGCAGGAGAGGUAAGUGGAAUUCCUAGUGUAGCGGUGAAAUGCGUAGAUAUUAGGAGGAACACCAGUGGCGAAGGCGGCUUACUGGACUGUAACUGACGUUGAGGCUCGAAAGCGUGGGGAGCAAACAGGAUUAGAUACCCUGGUA